GCGAGAUGGAGAGAACUCAGUAACUAAGUCCUACUAAUACAUACGUAUUAUAUAACCUCUCGACAGCCUUGGCUUACACGGCCUAUCUCAGGCGCAUCAAACAUUUGCCAAACCCUCUGCAGUGCAUUGGCACAUCUCCUAUCAUAAUGGUCUAGCGGGGCUGCAACCAAAUAGAUCAAAUACGCCACUUGAUAUCGCAUCAUACAGAUGGACAAAAGACAGGCCUUAUUCAUCCUGAUUGACAUUGAUAAUUACUGCAAUUCCUGGUGUACCAUGAUGAAACCAUAUCUAGCUAAAUAUCAUGAUAUGAUAGUUCUGAGGAAUUUGUUAGGACACAGUUCCUGCAACAAUUGUUACUAAGCAACGCUAUCCGUAAUCUGUGUCUAUGGACAUGAUAGGAACAUUAGCGGGUCCUAUUGAUGAAAUCUUCUCUUCUGACAUCGAAUGCUGUUGAUUCACACAUUAUUGAUGCCUGCAUUACGGUGCUUUGAUGAGCUGCUCUCACAGUGCUCUAAGAAGAUCGUUACCGCUUUGGCAGUUUCGGAGAGUGGUGCUAUACGCACGGCAGGUCGAACGAACUCGAACGUGUUCCGAAGGACUACCCGUACGUAAGGGAAUGGGCGAAUCACCGGUAUAACACAAGAAAAUCCUACUCACUCAGAUGGGCUUUACCAAUGGAAGAUGUGGCGAUAGUGACGAUUCCAGGUGUACACCUAAAAAGAAUUUGAGGGCACUGUAGGACCAGGGAGAUUGCAGUUAACCUACCCGUCGUCCUGUCGGCAAAUAGCGUCCACAUACUUAAUGAAGCUCGCCCGGCCUCCUUCGGUCAGGGCGAUCUUGGCAAGAUUCACUCCAUGAUGGGUGGUAGCAACUGGCGGGUAGGAGUUUAUGAUUGCCUCGCAUGUCUGUUUAUAGAAAUUGGGAUAGCUAACUAGUUUUGUGAUCGCAAAGCUGCAAAUGUCACCCUCUCCAAUC
RNAcentral lists this small RNA (975 nucleotides) under Cryptococcus neoformans H99. RNAcentral describes it as "Cryptococcus neoformans var. grubii H99 hypothetical RNA". Lineage: Eukaryota; Fungi; Basidiomycota; Tremellomycetes; Tremellales; Cryptococcaceae. The record is from RNAcentral.